RNAcentral lists this ribosomal RNA (466 nucleotides) under uncultured bacterium. RNAcentral describes it as "partial 16S ribosomal RNA". It matches the Rfam family "Bacterial small subunit ribosomal RNA", at positions 28 to 507 of the family's 1533-position model. The record is from RNAcentral.
GACGAACGCUGGCGGCGCGCCUAACACAUGCAAGUCGAACGAGCGAGAGAGAGCUUGCUUUCUCAAGCGAGUGGCGAACGGGUGAGUAACGCGUGAGGAACCUGCCUCGAAGAGGGGGACAACAGUUGGAAACGACUGCUAAUACCGCAUAAGCCCACGACCCGGCAUCGGGUAGAGGGAAAAGGAGCAAUCCGCUUUGAGAUGGCCUCGCGUCCGAUUAGCUAGUUGGUGAGGUAACGGCCCACCAAGGCGACGAUCGGUAGCCGGACUGAGAGGUUGAACGGCCACAUUGGGACUGAGACACGGCCCAGACUCCUACGGGAGGCAGCAGUGGGGAAUAUUGCACAAUGGGGGAAACCCUGAUGCAGCGACGCCGCGUGGAGGAAGAAGGUCUUCGGAUUGUAAACUCCUGUUGUUGAGGAAGAUAAUGACGGUACUCAACAAGGAAGUGACGGCUAACUACGUG